Molecule: ribosomal RNA, 497 nt
Filed under: uncultured bacterium
Lineage: Bacteria
Description: partial 16S ribosomal RNA
Rfam family: Bacterial small subunit ribosomal RNA
Source: RNAcentral
GAUGAACGCUGACGGCGUGCCUAAUACAUGCAAGUCGAGCGAACGGACGAGAAGCUUGCUUCUCUGAUGUUAGCGGCGGACGGGUGAGUAACACGUGGAUAACCUACCUAUAAGACUGGGAUAACUUCGGGAAACCGGAGCUAAUACCGGAUAAUAUUUUGAACCGCAUGGUUCAAAAGUGAAAGACGGUCUUGCUGUCACUUAUAGAUGGAUCCGCGCUGCAUUAGCUAGUUGGUAAGGUAACGGCUUACCAAGGCAACGAUGCAUAGCCGACCUGAGAGGGUGAUCGGCCACACUGGAACUGAGACACGGUCCAGACUCCUACGGGAGGCAGCAGUAGGGAAUCUUCCGCAAUGGGCGAAAGCCUGACGGAGCAACGCCGCGUGAGUGAUGAAGGUCUUCGGACCGUAAAACUCUGUUAUUAGGGAAGAACAUAUGUGUAAGUAACUGUGCACAUCUUGACGGUACCUAAUCAGAAAGCCACGGCUAACUACGUG